This 784-nucleotide ribosomal RNA is filed under the name uncultured bacterium. RNAcentral describes it as "bacterial SSU rRNA". It matches the Rfam family "Bacterial small subunit ribosomal RNA", at positions 8 to 810 of the family's 1533-position model. The record is from RNAcentral.
AGAGUUUGAUCAUGGCUCAGAUUGAACGCUGGCGGCAUGCUUUACACAUGCAAGUCGAACGCGGGUGAGGGGCAACUCUCACCUGAGUGGCGAACGGGUGAGUAAUGCAUCGGAACGUGUCCCGUAGUGGGGGAUAACCCGGCGAAAGCCGGACUAAUACCGCAUAUGCUCCACGGAGGAAAGUGGGGGACCCGCAAGGGCCUCAUGCUAUGGGAGCGGCCGAUGUCCGAUUAGCUAGUUGGCGGGGUAAAGGCCCACCAAGGCGACGAUCGGUAGCUGGUCUGAGAGGAUGAUCAGCCACACUGGGACUGAGACACGGGCCAAACUCCUACGGGAGGCAGCAGUGAGGAAUAUUGCACAAUGGGCGCAAGCCUGAUGCAGCAACGCCGCGUGAGGGACGAAGGCCUUCGGGUCGUAAACCUCUUUUCUGAGGGACGAGACAAGGACGGUACCUCAGGAAUAAGUCUCGGCUAACUACGUGCCAGCAGCCGCGGUAAAACGUAGGAGGCGAGCGUUAUCCGGAUUUACUGGGCGUAAAGCGCGCGCAGGCGGCUUGGCAAGUUGGACGUGAAAGCUCCUGGCUUAACUGNGAGAGGCCGUUCGAAACUGUCAGGCUUGAGGUUGGGAGAGGGGUGCGGAAUUCCCGGUGUAGUGGUGGAAUGCGUAGAUAUCGGGAGGAACACCAGUGGCGAAGGCGGCACCCUGNCCACACCUGACGCUGAGGUGCGAANNCGUGGGGAGUAAACAGGAUUANAUANCCUGGNAAUCCNNNGCCGUAAACNAU